This 459-nucleotide ribosomal RNA is filed under the name uncultured bacterium. RNAcentral's name for it is "partial 16S ribosomal RNA". It matches the Rfam family "Bacterial small subunit ribosomal RNA", at positions 28 to 523 of the family's 1533-position model. The record is from RNAcentral.
GAUGAACGCUGGCGGCGUGCCUAAUACAUGCAAGUCGAGCGGUAAGGCCCUUCGGGGUACACGAGCGGCGGACGGCAGAGUAACACGUAGGAACGUACCCCAAAGUGAGGGAUAGCCCACCGAAAGGUGGAUUAAUACCGCAUGUGGUCUUCGGAUUAAAGCAGCAAUGCGCUUUGGGAACGGCCUGCGUAAGAUUAGCUAGUUGGUGAGGUAACGGCUCGCCAAGGCGACGAUCUUUAGCUGGUCUGAGAGGAUGAUCAGCCUGACUGGGACUGAGACACGGCCCAGACUCCUACGGGAGGCAGCAGUAGGGAAUUUUCCACAAUGGGCGAAAGCCUGAUGGAGCAACGCCGCGUGCAGGAUGAAGGCCUUCGGGUUGUAAACUGCUUUUGUCUGAGAAGAAUAUGACGGUAACAGACGAAUAAGGGUCUGCUAACUACGUGCCAGCCGCCGCGGUAA